Non-coding RNA from Pelobates cultripes (western spadefoot toad), 691 nucleotides. NCBI's taxonomy places the organism in Eukaryota, Metazoa, Chordata, Amphibia, Anura, Pelobatidae. The record is from the annotation of a GenBank genome assembly.
AUUCAACGUGUUGUAGGAAUGUAGAAAUAUUGUAAGUUAUUAUUCUAAGCAUAUCCAGACAUCGAGAGGCCUACCCAGAUACAUUACCAUCAUAAUGUAAUUUAUACACAUACUGUAAUUUACACACAUAUGGUUUUAAGUCAAGAAUGAUGGAUGGAGACUUGUGGACCCUGUUGAUAAUAACCUUUGACCUAGCCUUGUAAGCCUGAAUUCCUGUGAAGGUUCACAUUUCUAUAGGCAAUCAUUCAUUCCAUCAGGUAAUUAGAAGUCUCAAGAAGGUCUUUGUGUGUAACUUACCAAAACAUCAUAACGUAUGGCUUUAAUCAUAGAUAUCGAAUAAUACUAAGUUACCACCUAUUUUUUCUUAGAUAACCAAUUAUUGUAAAGCAGGCAAACCUUAUGUCAUUAUGUAUACGCCCUAUGUAAUUGAAUUUUAAAUGUAUAAAAUCCAUUGCAGCUAGAAUUCCAAUAGUAACACCAACGACCAAUACCUUUUAACAUCAAGCUUGGAUAAGAUCUAGAAGUGAAUAUACAUUGUAUAUUGGUCCAUAUGAUUUUAAAACAGACUUUUGUUGUUACCGGAUGAUGUGUAUAUUGUAAUAAAUAUACGGUUUUAACUGCAAGACACUCUGAUUCGAUUUGUUCAGAAAACUGGAAAACAAAUAUCUCACGGAAUGCAAAUUUCCUACAC